This 103-nucleotide small RNA is filed under the name Arabidopsis thaliana (thale cress). Its description in RNAcentral is "ATSL229130". The record is from RNAcentral. Lineage: Eukaryota; Viridiplantae; Streptophyta; Magnoliopsida; Brassicales; Brassicaceae.
CUCCUUCGCUGUUUUCCUUUUGAUUAUCGGCUUCUGCAGGUUCUUCAGGCUGGACAGAGUGUUCUGCUUCUUCUUCUUCUUGUUCUUCUUCCUCUUUUUCCUG